RNAcentral lists this ribosomal RNA (253 nucleotides) under uncultured bacterium. Its description in RNAcentral is "partial 16S ribosomal RNA". It matches the Rfam family "Bacterial small subunit ribosomal RNA", at positions 524 to 776 of the family's 1533-position model. The record is from RNAcentral.
UACGUAGGGGGCUAGCGUUGUCCGGAAUCAUUGGGCGUAAAGAGCGUGUAGGCGGUCCGGUAAGUCCGCUGUGAAAGUCGGGGGCUCAACCCUCGAAUGCCGGUGGAUACUGUCGGGCUAGAGUGCGGAAGAGGCGAGUGGAAUUCCUGGUGUAGCGGUGAAAUGCGCAGAUAUCAGGAGGAACACCGGUGGCGAAGGCGGAUCUCUGGGCCUGUUCUGACGCUGAGGCGCGAAAGCUAGGGGAGCGAACAGG